UACGUAGGGGGCGAGCGUUGUCCGGAUUUAUUGGGCGUAAAGAGCGUGUAGGCGGCCAGGUAGGUCUGCUGUGAAAACUCGAGGCUCAACCUCGAGACGUCGGCGGAAACCAUCUGGCUAGAGUCCGGAAGAGGAGAGCGGAAUUCCUGGUGUAGCGGUGAAAUGCGCAGAUAUCAGGAAGAACACCCGUGGCGAAGGCGGCUCUCUGGGACGGUACUGACGCUGAGACGCGAAAGCGUGGGGAGCGAACAGG
This 253-nucleotide ribosomal RNA is filed under the name uncultured bacterium. RNAcentral describes it as "partial 16S ribosomal RNA". It matches the Rfam family "Bacterial small subunit ribosomal RNA", at positions 524 to 776 of the family's 1533-position model. The record is from RNAcentral.